This is a long non-coding RNA of Syngnathoides biaculeatus (alligator pipefish), 1193 nucleotides long. RefSeq lists it as uncharacterized. NCBI's taxonomy places the organism in Eukaryota, Metazoa, Chordata, Actinopteri, Syngnathiformes, Syngnathidae. The record is from RefSeq and is a predicted model, not a curated record. The transcript has 2 exons.
CUUCGGUCAGCCUUUGGCCCCAAAGUCAGCUGGGAAAAUGGACGGUGAUAAUAUCUUGAUUCUGAAAAUCUGUCAGAGAAGGAUUUUUUUUAACCCCCCCCCCCCCUUUAAUUCUUCAUUAAGAUUUCGAGCUUAGGACCCGGCCGGCCGUCAUCGACUCGGGGCUUUCGUGAUCUCGGGCCGCUAAUGGCCGUCGUGAGAAGCGGCCGGCAAACGCUCGGCGGAGCAGGAUGUACAGGAAAUACCAGCUCCUCCCUCAGAAAAAAAAAACAAACGCAAAUGUCAACACGGGGAACGGCGCAAAGGCCUCGAGAAGCGCGAGGAGGGACGUCCUUUUGUUCCGACAUUAAAAUGAGCUCGCGCCGCCGCGGCUCCGUUCGGAUUCUGGCCGAUCAGGUCGGUCGAGCUUGACUUCAUUGCUGGCGUCCCGGCACUCCCUCCCUCCCCUGCGUCUUUUAUUUCUCCUGAAAACAGAUGCCUGAGCAUUCUUUUGUUUCCCAACAAAGCCCGCGGAGGUCAGCGCAUGGAGGAAGGGCGUAAGCAAACGGGGGGGAGGGCGGUGGGGGGGGGUGUAGUGCAGGAGAGACAAAGUUUAAGACGUUACCAAAAAAAAAAAAAAUGUCAUGUUUGAUGCUGGGCACUGAUCACAUUCAUGCCAUUAUUUGGCGCUUGACCCUCAAGUCACUUCGGUUUCUUUGCUGUCCUCUAGCGGUCGGUAGCCGAUUUGCAGGGCAAUUCGUGUUCCUCAGUCUCGGAGAAAGAAAGAAAGAAAGUAGAAGAGUCACGCUUUGGGGCUUCUUUUGUGGGGCUUUGGUCAAAGUACAGGAAAUUAUGAACCGUUUCAAAUAGUACGCACAAAACCUUCCGGUUGCUGAUCGAAAGCAAAAACUGAAGUCACGAGAACGGCUCAACUUUAUGCACACGUUUCUCUUUUUUCCCCCUUUUGAGCGAGCGCAAAAAUGCAAUAUGCACUCACUUCUAUCAAGUCUACCUGUAUUUUAACGCGACGUAAUAUUGAGCAAUAUUCUACCCUGACAUGAAGUUAAAAUCUUUUUUUUUUCAUGCUAAUUUUCACUAUAGUCAUUAGCAUAUUUCUAACACUAUUUCAUUUGUAAUUUCCCUCAGCCUUUCCUAACGGUGUAAGACUUGUAUUAUGAAAUAAAAUGAAUAAAUGAAAAAUGCCUUUUGAUGAA